UUACAUGCAUGACUUUACUAUGCUGCUAGCUGAAAUAGAGUAUUUGAAAAAAAGGGAAAUUGAACUGGAAAAUGAAAGCGUUUGUCUCCGAACCAAGAUUGCAGAAGUAGAGAGGCUUCAGCAGGCGAACAUGGUGACUGGACCUGAGCUUAAUGCCAUUCAAGCUUUAGCUUCUCGCAAUUUCUUAGCCCCAAUGUGAUGGAGC
Molecule: long non-coding RNA, 205 nt
Organism: Hibiscus syriacus
Lineage: Eukaryota; Viridiplantae; Streptophyta; Magnoliopsida; Malvales; Malvaceae
Exons: 3
Source: RefSeq, a predicted model, not a curated record